AGCGAACGCUGGCGGCAGGCCUAAUACAUGCAAGUCGAGCGCCCCUUCGGGGGAGCGGCGGACGGGUGAGUAACGCGUGGGAACGUGCCCUUUGGUUCGGAACAACACAGGGAAACUUGUGCUAAUACCGAAUGUGCCCUUCGGGGAAGAUUAUCGCCAUUGGAGCGGCCCGCGUUGGAUUAGGUAGUUGGUGGGUAAAGGCCUACCAAGCCUACGAUCCAUAGCUGGUCUGAGAGGAUGAUCAGCCACACUGGGACUGAGACACGGCCCAGACUCCUACGGGAGGCAGCAGUAGGGAAUCUUGCGCAAUGGGCGAAAGCCUGACGCAGCCAUGCCGCGUGAAUGAUGAAGGUCUUAGGAUUGUAAAGCUCUUUUACC
RNAcentral lists this ribosomal RNA (378 nucleotides) under uncultured bacterium. Its description in RNAcentral is "bacterial SSU rRNA". It matches the Rfam family "Bacterial small subunit ribosomal RNA", at positions 29 to 440 of the family's 1533-position model. The record is from RNAcentral.